Molecule: ribosomal RNA, 484 nt
Filed under: uncultured bacterium
Lineage: Bacteria
Description: partial 16S ribosomal RNA
Rfam family: Bacterial small subunit ribosomal RNA
Source: RNAcentral
AUUGAACGCUGGCGGCAUGCCUUACACAUGCAAGUCGAACGGCAGCGCGGGCUUCGGCCUGGCGUAGAGUGGCGAACGGGUGAGUAAUGCAUCGGAACGUGCCCAGUUGUGGGGGAUAGCGCGGCGAAGGCGGGAUUAAUACCGCAUACGACCUGAGGGUGUAAGCGGGGGACCGAAAGGCCUUGCGCUAUUGGAGGGGCCGAUGUCGGAUUAGCUAGUUGGUGGGGUAAAGGCUUACCAAGGCGACGAUCCGUAGCUGGUCUGAGAGGACGAGCAGCCACACUGGGACUGAGACACGGUCCAGACUCCUACGGGAGGCAGCAGUGGGGAAUAUUGGACAAUGGGCGCAAGCCUGAUCCAGCCAUGCCGCGUGCGGGAAGAAGGCCUUCGGGUUGUAAAGCGCUUUUGUUCGGGAAGAAAACCUGUGGGCUAAUACCCCGCGGUGAUGACGGUACCGGAAGAAUAAGCACCGGCUAACUACGUG